AUGUCGAUUCUGCGCUUCUCAGUAACUACGUGAGUUGGGGCUUUCUCAUGUGCCAAGACUGGUCUCGAAGUACUGGACUCAAGCAAUCCCCCCACCUUGACCUCCCAAAGUGCUGGGAUUACAGGCCGAGCUAUGACACCCAGCCUUCAGUUAUACAUUUCAAAGAACGUAAAAUAAUUUCCAUUAUAUUCAUUUAUUCUUUCACUCAUCUAAAUACUUAUUGAGCAUGUACUGUGUGAACUGACGCUACGUGCCGGGGAUCCAGAAGUGAACGAGCCAGACGAGGUGCUGCCCUUGUGGACCUUAAAUUCUAUUUAGGGAAGAGAAACAAUAAACAUGUAAACACAUUCCAGAUUACCUGCAGCAAUGGACACACCUUGUAACAGAUACACAGGAAAAUUAGAAGGGGAAACUCUAGAUCAGUGCUUCUGAAAUUUUUAAAGCACAAUCACUUUGGGGUCUGGUUAAAAUGUAGCUUUUCCUUCAGUGGGUCUGUGGUGGGGCCUAAGACUCUGCAUUUCCAGAGAAAACACAACACAAAAUGAAAUGCUUGCAGGCAACACUGACGCUUCUGGUCUGAAGCCCACACUUGGAGAUCCAUAGCUGUGGGCAGAGAAGGGGUGCAGCAAGCUCCUCUAGCUUGAUGGUCGGGAAGGACCUUUUCCAGGAAUGAAGUUUUGAAUGAGAUCCUGAGUGAUGGUAAGCAAUCGGUCUCAUGAGCAAUGGCAAGUCAAAGGCCUUGAGGUAGGAAUGAGCUGUGGGUGUGCCAAGGAAGGCUGUCGAGGCUGGGGCAUGGUGAUUGAGGAGAGUGACAGGAGAACUGGGAGCGAGUCCAAUCAUUUACAUUAUUUAGGACCUUGUGUGUAGGCCAUGCCGAAGAGUUUGAAUUUUAUUCUAAUUGCAAUGAAAGACGUUUAGUAGCUUUCAAACUGGAGAGUGAGAUAAGCUUAUUUAUGAUCACUCUUCACUGCUGCAUAAAGAACAAACUGCUGGGGGCCAGAGUACAGACGGG
This 1012-nucleotide long non-coding RNA is filed under the name Pan troglodytes (chimpanzee). Its description in RNAcentral is "long non-coding RNA NONPTRT016198". Lineage: Eukaryota; Metazoa; Chordata; Mammalia; Primates; Hominidae. The record is from RNAcentral.